Non-coding RNA from Kogia breviceps (pygmy sperm whale), 587 nucleotides. Lineage: Eukaryota; Metazoa; Chordata; Mammalia; Artiodactyla; Physeteridae. The record is from RefSeq and is a predicted model, not a curated record.
CGCCAGCAAAGAAUUAUCCAAUCCAAAAUGUCAAGAGUGCUGAGGUUGAGAAACCCUGAACAAGAAAAAGUCCUUGGAAGGUGCCUUCAGCCACAGCCCAACCUCCGGUCCCUCAGUUGAAGAGGAAAGUAGCUGCUUGGUAAGCUUUUGCUGACUGAACGCACGUCCUGUUCUUGGUACCAGGCCGCUCCGGAGACCUGAAGGCUAUUCCUGGGCAGCUUCAACACGCUCUUCUCUGGAAGGAGCCAGGCCAGCCCUGCCUCCCCCGUCCCCUCCCUCUCUGGCCUCCAGGGACUCACCCACGGGGUCCACGAGGUCGAUGUGGUCCACAAAGUCCCGCUUUCCCAGAUAGACGAUGAGGACACUGAGGCCUGCAGGGAUCUUCAUGCCAAGCACCACUGAGGGUGGAGUGGCAGCAGGAAAGGAGUCUGAGAGGGGGUGCUGGGUGCAUCUCUGCAAGUAUGGGGGGACCCAGAGCAGGGCCAGCAGCGCCGAGAGGGUGCUCUGAACACUGAGCUCUGUGCCCCUCACUGCUCCCGGCCUCUGUGCAGCCUGCAGAGAUCCACUCGAAGGAGGACUUGUUUUCC